This 1621-nucleotide ribosomal RNA is filed under the name Salmonella enterica. RNAcentral describes it as "partial 23S ribosomal RNA". It matches the Rfam family "Bacterial large subunit ribosomal RNA", at positions 1200 to 2802 of the family's 2925-position model. The record is from RNAcentral. Lineage: Bacteria; Pseudomonadati; Pseudomonadota; Gammaproteobacteria; Enterobacterales; Enterobacteriaceae.
CUGCGGCAGCGACGCUGAUGCGUUGUUGGGUAGGGGAGCGUUCUGUAAGCCUGUGAAGGUGGCCUGUGAGGGUUGCUGGAGGUAUCAGAAGUGCGAAUGCUGACAUAAGUAACGAUAAAGCGGGUGAAAAGCCCGCUCGCCGGAAGACCAAGGGUUCCUGUCCAACGUUAAUCGGGGCAGGGUGAGUCGACCCCUAAGGCGAGGCCGAAAGGCGUAGUCGAUGGGAAACGGGUUAAUAUUCCCGUACUUGGUGUUACUGCGAAGGGGGGACGGAGAAGGCUAUGUUGGCCGGGCGACGGUUGUCCCGGUUUAAGCGUGUAGGUGUGUGUUCCAGGUAAAUCCGGUUCACUUUAACACUGAGGCGUGAUGACGAGGCACUACGGUGCUGAAGCAACAAAUGCCCUGCUUCCAGGAAAAGCCUCUAAGCAUCAGGUAACAUCAAAUCGUACCCCAAACCGACACAGGUGGUCAGGUAGAGAAUACCAAGGCGCUUGAGAGAACUCGGGUGAAGGAACUAGGCAAAAUGGUGCCGUAACUUCGGGAGAAGGCACGCUGACACGUAGGUGAAGUGAUUUACUCAUGGAGCUGAAGUCAGUCGAAGAUACCAGCUGGCUGCAACUGUUUAUUAAAAACACAGCACUGUGCAAACACGAAAGUGGACGUAUACGGUGUGACGCCUGCCCGGUGCCGGAAGGUUAAUUGAUGGGGUCAGCGCAAGCGAAGCUCCUGAUCGAAGCCCCGGUAAACGGCGGCCGUAACUAUAACGGUCCUAAGGUAGCGAAAUUCCUUGUCGGGUAAGUUCCGACCUGCACGAAUGGCGUAAUGAUGGCCAGGCUGUCUCCACCCGAGACUCAGUGAAAUUGAACUCGCUGUGAAGAUGCAGUGUACCCGCGGCAAGACGGAAAGACCCCGUGAACCUUUACUAUAGCUUGACACUGAACAUUGAGCCUUGAUGUGUAGGAUAGGUGGGAGGCUUUGAAGUGUGGACGCCAGUCUGCAUGGAGCCGGCCUUGAAAUACCACCCUUUAAUGUUUGAUGUUCUAACGUGGACCCGUGAUCCGGGUUGCGGACAGUGUCUGGUGGGUAGUUUGACUGGGGCGGUCUCCUCCUAAAGAGUAACGGAGGAGCACGAAGGUUGGCUAAUCCUGGUCGGACAUCAGGAGGUUAGUGCAAUGGCAUAAGCCAGCUUGACUGCGAGCGUGACGGCGCGAGCAGGUGCGAAAGCAGGUCAUAGUGAUCCGGUGGUUCUGAAUGGAAGGGCCAUCGCUCAACGGAUAAAAGGUACUCCGGGGAUAACAGGCUGAUACCGCCCAAGAGUUCAUAUCGACGGCGGUGUUUGGCACCUCGAUGUCGGCUCAUCACAUCCUGGGGCUGAAGUAGGUCCCAAGGGUAUGGCUGUUCGCCAUUUAAAGUGGUACGCGAGCUGGGUUUAGAACGUCGUGAGACAGUUCGGUCCCUAUCUGCCGUGGGCGCUGGAGAACUGAGGGGGGCUGCUCCUAGUACGAGAGGACCGGAGUGGACGCAUCACUGGUGUUCGGGUUGUCAUGCCAAUGGCACUGCCCGGUAGCUAAAUGCGGAAGAGAUAAGUGCUGAAAGCAUCUAAGCACGAAACUUGCCCCGA